This 453-nucleotide ribosomal RNA is filed under the name uncultured bacterium. RNAcentral's name for it is "SSU rRNA". It matches the Rfam family "Bacterial small subunit ribosomal RNA", at positions 26 to 518 of the family's 1533-position model. The record is from RNAcentral.
AGAGCGAACGCUGGCGGCAGGCUUAACACAUGCAAGUCGAGCGGGCGGUAGCGAAUAACGGUCAGCGGCAGACGGGUGAGUAACGCGUGGGAACGUACCUUUUGGUUCGGAACAACCCAGGGAAACUUGGGCUAAUACCGGAUAAGCCCUUACGGGGAAAGAUUUAUCGCCGAAAGAUCGGCCCGCGUCUGAUUAGCUAGUUGGUGAGGUAAUGGCUCACCAAGGCGACGAUCAGUAGCUGGUCUGAGAGGAUGAUCAGCCACAUUGGGACUGAGACACGGCCCAAACUCCUACGGGAGGCAGCAGUGGGGAAUAUUGGACAAUGGGCGCAAGCCUGAUCCAGCCAUGCCGCGUGAGUGAUGAAGGCCCUAGGGUUGUAAAGCUCUUUUGUGCGGGAAGAUAAUGACGGUACCGGCAAGAAUAAGCCCCGGCUAACUUCGUGCCAGCAGCCGC